GAUGAACGCUGGCGGCGUGCCUAAUACAUGCAAGUCGAGCGAACAGACGAGGAGCUUGCUCCUCUGACGUUAGCGGCGGACGGGUGAGUAACACGUGGAUAACCUACCUAUAAGACUGGGAUAACUUCGGGAAACCGGCGCUAAUACCGGAUAAUAUUUUGACCCGCAUGGUUCAAUAGUGAAAGACGGUUUUGCUGUCACUUAUAGAUGGUUCCGCGCCGCAUUAGCUGGUUGGUAAGGUAACGGCUUACCAAGGCAACGAUGCGUAGCCGACCUGAGAGGGUGAUCGGCCACACUGGAACUGAGACACGGUCCAGACUACUACGGGAGGCAGCAGUAGGGAAUCUUCCGCAAUGGGCGAAAGCCUGACGGAGCAACGCCGCGUGAGUGAUGAAGGUCUUCGGAUCGUAAAACUCUGUUAUUAGGGAAGAACAAAUGUGUAAGUAACUAUGCACGUCUUGACGGUACCUAAUCAGAAAGCCACGGCUAACUACGUG
Molecule: ribosomal RNA, 497 nt
Filed under: uncultured bacterium
Lineage: Bacteria
Description: partial 16S ribosomal RNA
Rfam family: Bacterial small subunit ribosomal RNA
Source: RNAcentral